GUACUGGCUUUCGCUGUACUUAUUACUAAAAUUGGUACGAUAACAGAGAUUAGCAUGGCCCUGCGCAAGGUUGACACGCAAAAAUCGUGAAGCGUGUCACCGUAAA
Cherax quadricarinatus is the source of this 106-nucleotide small nuclear RNA. The record is from RefSeq and is a predicted model, not a curated record. Lineage: Eukaryota; Metazoa; Arthropoda; Malacostraca; Decapoda; Parastacidae.